AACCUUACCAGGUCUUGACAUCCUUUGACCAUCCUAGAGAUAGGAYUUUCCCUUCGGGGACAAAGUGACAGGUGGUGCAUGGUUGUCGUCAGCUCGUGUCGUGAGAUGUUGGGUUAAGUCCCGCAACGAGCGCAACCCUUAUUGUUAGUUGCCAUCAUUCAGUUGGGCACUCUAGCGAGACUGCCGCAGACAAUGCGGAGGAAGGUGGGGAUGACGUCAAAUCAUCAUGCCCCUUAUGACCUGGGCUACACACGUGCUACAAUGGAGAGUACAACGAGUCGCAAAGCCGCGAGGCUAAGCCAAUCUCUUAAAGCUCUUCUCAGUUCGGAUUGUAGGCUGCAACUCGCCUACAUGAAGCCGGAAUCGCUAGUAAUCGCGGAUCAGCACGCCGCGGUGAAUACGUUCCCGGG
RNAcentral lists this ribosomal RNA (410 nucleotides) under Enterococcus cecorum. Its description in RNAcentral is "bacterial SSU rRNA". It matches the Rfam family "Bacterial small subunit ribosomal RNA", at positions 967 to 1378 of the family's 1533-position model. Lineage: Bacteria; Bacillati; Bacillota; Bacilli; Lactobacillales; Enterococcaceae. The record is from RNAcentral.